This 497-nucleotide ribosomal RNA is filed under the name uncultured bacterium. Its description in RNAcentral is "partial 16S ribosomal RNA". It matches the Rfam family "Bacterial small subunit ribosomal RNA", at positions 28 to 507 of the family's 1533-position model. The record is from RNAcentral.
GAUGAACGCUGGCGGCGUGCCUAAUACAUGCAAGUCGAGCGAACGGACGAGAAGCUUGCUUCUCUGAUGUUAGCGGCGGACGGGUGAGUAACACGUGGAUAACCUACCUAUAAGACUGGGAUAACUUCGGGAAACCGGAGCUAAUACCGGAUAAUAUUUUGAACCGCAUGGUUCAAAAGUGAAAGACGGUCUUGCUGUCACUUAUAGAUGGAUCCGCGCUGCAUUAGCUAGUUGGUAAGGUAACGGCAUACCAAGGCAACGAUGCAUAGCCGACCUGAGAGGGUGAUCGGCCACACUGGAACUGGAACACGGUCCAGACUCCUACGGGAGGCAGCAGUAGGGAAUCUUCCGCAAUGGGCGAAAGCCUGACGGAGCAACGCCGCGUGAGUGAUGAAGAUCUUCGGAUCGUAAAACUCUGUUAUUAGGGAAGAACAUAUGUGUAAGUAACUGUGCACAGCUUGACGGUACCUAAUCAGAAAGCCACGGCUAACUACGUG